GCCGGCGUAGCUCAGCAGGUAGUUUAACAGCCUACAGACCCGUUGGUCGGAAGUUCGAGUCUUCCCGCCGGCG
Molecule: transfer RNA, 73 nt
Filed under: Candidatus Bathyarchaeota archaeon
Lineage: Archaea; Thermoproteati; Candidatus Bathyarchaeota
Description: tRNA-Cys
Rfam family: tRNA
About the family: Transfer RNA (tRNA) molecules are approximately 80 nucleotides in length. Their secondary structure includes four short double-helical elements and three loops (D, anti-codon, and T loops).
Source: RNAcentral